AGUGAACGCUGGCGGUAGGCCUAACACAUGCAAGUCGAACGGCAGCACAGUAAGAGCUUGCUCUUACGGGUGGCGGGUGGCGGACGGGUGAGGAAUACAGCGGAAUCUACUUUUUCGUGGGGGAUAACGUCGGGAAACUUACGCUAAUACCGCAUACGACCUACGGGUGAAAGCAGGGGAUUUUGGGACCUUGCGCGAUUGAAUGAGCUGAUGUCGGAUUAGCUAGUUGGCGGGGUAAAGGCCCACCAAGGCGACGGUCCGUAGCUGGUCUGAGAGGAUGAUCAGCCACACUGGAACUGAGACACGGUCCAGACUCCUACGGGAGGCAGCAGUGGGGAAUAUUGGACAAUGGGCGCAAGCCUGAUCCAGCCAUGCCGCGUGGGGGAAGAAGGCCUUCGGGUUGUAAAGCGCUUUUGUUGGGAAAGAAAAGCAGCAGGUUAAUACCCCGCUGUUCUGACGGUACCCAAAGAAUAAGCACCGGCUAACUACGUG
RNAcentral lists this ribosomal RNA (492 nucleotides) under uncultured bacterium. RNAcentral describes it as "partial 16S ribosomal RNA". It matches the Rfam family "Bacterial small subunit ribosomal RNA", at positions 29 to 507 of the family's 1533-position model. The record is from RNAcentral.